UACGGGGGGGGGCGAAGCGUUGUUCGGAAUUACUGGGCGUAAAGAGCUCGUAGGCGGUUUUGUUGCGUCUAUCGUGAAAAACCUGCAGCUUAACUGUGGGCUUGCGGUGGAUACGGGCAGACUUGAGUUCGGUAGGGGGAGACUGGAAUUCCUGGUGUAGCGGUGAAAAUGCGCAGAUAUCAGGAGGAACACCGGUGGCGAAGGCGGGUCUCUGGGCCGAUACUGACGCUGAGGAGCGAAAGCGUGGGGAGCGAACAGG
This 259-nucleotide ribosomal RNA is filed under the name uncultured bacterium. RNAcentral describes it as "partial 16S ribosomal RNA". It matches the Rfam family "Bacterial small subunit ribosomal RNA", at positions 524 to 776 of the family's 1533-position model. The record is from RNAcentral.